RNAcentral lists this long non-coding RNA (1092 nucleotides) under Varanus komodoensis (Komodo dragon). RNAcentral describes it as "lncRNA (ENSVKKG00000005203.1)". The record is from RNAcentral. Lineage: Eukaryota; Metazoa; Chordata; Lepidosauria; Squamata; Varanidae.
GCCAGAGAGCACACCACGGGGUGCAGGGGCCGUGUCUCAGAGGACCUUUGGUGCAUGUGGUAUCUAUUACUCCCGGACUGUGGGCUGCGGUCCAUGGAAAACCGUCCACCACCAGCCAAUUCUGGGGUGGUUCUGCCUGUUCCAUCACCAAAGCCUCACUCGGCACUUCCACCAGAAGAUCUGAGGACUGGCCACCGCCCUUGGCUGAAGCUAGGUCGGAGUGAGCUUCGCAGUUUGGCCAUGAUAUUGGCAACCGGUGGGCAAGCGAGUUUGGGAGCAGAUGCAGUGCCUCAUAUCCGUAAUUAACUGGAUUGCACUGCUCCCCUUCUGCAGUCUGGACUUCUAUUCUGGAGCACUUGAUCUGCAUAACGCUGGUAAACCCUUAUGCUGAAUAACAACAUCAUUGCUUGCAUAAAUAUCUCAGCUUAAAAUAUCUCUUGCCUAUAACCCGCUCCCCAGUCGUACACUGCAUGACGAGCUUUGCAGCAAACGGACAUUCCUCCUGCUCAUCGAGGAGAAGGGCGAGGUGUGCACUGCCAUCCAAUGCGCUGAUGAAUUGGAACAGGCGUGGGAUGAAGUGCAGCGUCUUCCCCUUCCUCUGGCUACGCACUUCUUGUUCAGUGCGGCACGUGAGGGUUUGAGUGCUGACAACAGCCAUUUUAAAAAUGAUACAAGGCUCUAGUCCUCAGGGAAGAGAAGGCAGGGCCUCCCACCAUGAACAGUAGAAAAAGAUGUCCAAGUGUGUUCGAUUUGCAUAAUGCACAUACAGCCGAACACACACCCCUGACAGCUAUGCGCUUCUUUUAGGAAGCCCUGGGGUGGGCCUAGGCUGCUCCUCCCCUAUGAAAAUUAAGCUGCCUCCUGUCCUUUGUCCAUCCAGCUGCAAAAAUGUGACUUGCAAAACAGCAACUGGAUGCAAGCCAACACAGCAGGAGAUGAGCGAAGACAAGUUUUUCCUUCCCUACCCAAGAUUCAAAACGGAGGUUUCUGUGCCAACUUCCAUUUUAUUCAUUGUCCCUCCAGCCCAAACUCUCUUCCGAGGAUUAUCACCACAAUAGACCCGCACCUCCCACCACAAGAGAGCGGGGCAAC